CGCCCUCCCUCCGCCGCCAUCAGACUCCGUACGGGAGGCGAGCAGGUGGGGAAGUUAGUUGGACAAGUGGGCGCAACGCCUGAUCCAGCAAUGCCGCGUGUGUGAAGAGCUUCGGGUUGUAAGCACUUUUAUCAGGAGCGAAAUACUACCGGUUAAUAACCGGUGGGCUGACGGUACCUGAGGAAUAAGCACCGGCUAACUUCGUGCCAGCAGCCGCGGUAAUAC
RNAcentral lists this ribosomal RNA (225 nucleotides) under uncultured bacterium. Its description in RNAcentral is "partial 16S ribosomal RNA". It matches the Rfam family "Bacterial small subunit ribosomal RNA", at positions 305 to 526 of the family's 1533-position model. The record is from RNAcentral.